ACUCAAAUGAAUAGACGGGGGCCCGCACAAGCGGUGGAUCAUGUGGUUUAAUUCGAAGCAACGCGAAAAACCUUACCUGGGUUUGACAUCUCUGGACAACCGUAGAGAUACGGCUUUCGUAGCAAUACGACCAGAAGACAGGUGCUGCAUGGCUGUCGUCAGCUCGUGGGGUGACCUGUUGGGUUAAGUCCCGCAACGAGCGCAACCCCUGUCCUUAGUUGCCAGCAUUAAGUUGGGCUCUCUAGGGAGACUGCCGUGGUUAACACGGAGGAAGGUGGGGAUGACGUCAAGUCCUCAUGGCCUUUAUAUCCAGGGCGACACACGUGAUACAAUGGACGGUACAAAGGGACGCCAAGUGGUGACACGGAGCUAAUCUCAAAAAGCCGUUCUCAGUUCGGAUUGGAGUCUGCAACCCGACUCCAUGAAGUUGGAAUCGCUAGUAAUCGCGGAUCAGCACGCCGCGGUGAAUACGUUCUCGGGCCUUGCACACACCGCCCGU
Molecule: ribosomal RNA, 499 nt
Filed under: uncultured bacterium
Lineage: Bacteria
Description: partial 16S ribosomal RNA
Rfam family: Bacterial small subunit ribosomal RNA
Source: RNAcentral